GCCCGGGUGGCGGAACUGGUAGACGCGCCAGACUCAAAAUCUGGUGAGGGCAACCUCGUGUGGGUUCGAGUCCCACCCCGGGCACCA
RNAcentral lists this transfer RNA (87 nucleotides) under Alphaproteobacteria bacterium. RNAcentral describes it as "tRNA-Leu". It matches the Rfam family "tRNA". From Rfam's summary of the family: Transfer RNA (tRNA) molecules are approximately 80 nucleotides in length. Their secondary structure includes four short double-helical elements and three loops (D, anti-codon, and T loops). Further hydrogen bonds mediate the characteristic L-shaped molecular structure. tRNAs have two regions of fundamental functional importance: the anti-codon, which is responsible for specific mRNA codon recognition, and the 3' end, to which the tRNAs corresponding amino acid is attached (by aminoacyl-tRNA synthetases). tRNAs cope with the degeneracy of the genetic code in two manners: having more than one tRNA (with a specific anti-codon) for a particular amino acid; and 'wobble' base-pairing, i.e. permitting non-standard base-pairing at the 3rd anti-codon position. Lineage: Bacteria; Pseudomonadati; Pseudomonadota; Alphaproteobacteria. The record is from RNAcentral.